CUCACAUUCCUGGUGAAAGGAAAUUUGCUUCUAUAGGAAAUAGUUGAGAAGACCAAACUCUUGGAAAAAUAAGACUUCCAAGGAUCGAAUAUCAGAGGCAGAGGUAAGCAUCUACAGUAGCUGGGAGACUAGGGAACUAAAUGGCUUAGUCUCUUGGAUGGAGGAAGAAGUCUACUAGCUGCUGCUGCCCAGAUAGUUAAUACCCUAUCCUGAAACAGAGACUAGCAACUGAGCUGUGAGAGGCCAGAAGGAAACAGUGGCAUAACAAACACGCUGCCAUGGCAACAAAACAGCUGGAAAACACCUAAGAGGCUGCAUUUAUACCUAAACCACCAAGUGUGGUCAGUCCACAGGGAAGGGGUUGGAGGAGUAAGAAGUCCCCUAUAACUAACCCCUCUAUCCUCUGUUCCUGGACGAUGACUGCCAUUGACCUCAGAAAUUUAGGAUAUCUGGUUAACCAAAAUGGUUAAACAGACUUUUGGGGAUCUUGCCUGAGUUCUGUAGCUGAGGAUUAGUGAUCUCAUACCCAGAGACCUCUGCCACUGCCAGAUCUGUGCUGAAAUUAUACAUCCCACUACAAGAAAUGCAUCUUAAGAAAGCCUCAAGAGAGACAGCCUUCCCAGUAUCUUGGUCAAGAAUAAAUGUGAAACUGCUGGCAGAAACAGG
RNAcentral lists this long non-coding RNA (666 nucleotides) under Homo sapiens (human). Its description in RNAcentral is "HSALNT0390180". Lineage: Eukaryota; Metazoa; Chordata; Mammalia; Primates; Hominidae. The record is from RNAcentral.